GUAGGGAAUUUUCGUCAAUGGGGGAAACCCUGAACGAGCAAUGCCGCGUGAGUGAAGAAGGUCUUCGGAUCGUAAAGCUCUGUUGUAAGUGAAGAACGGCUCAUAGAGGAAAUGCUAUGGGAGUGACGGUAGCUUACCAGAAAGCCACGGCUAACUACGUGCCAGCAGCCGCGGUAAUACGUAGGUGGCAAGCGUUAUCCGGAAUCAUUGGGCGUAAAGGGUGCGUAGGUGGCGUACUAAGUCUGUAGUAAAAGGCAAUGGCUCAACCAUUGUAAGCUAUGGAAACUGGUAUGCUGGAGUGCAGAAGAGGGCGAUGGAAUUCCAUGUGUAGCGGUAAAAUGCGUAGAUAUAUGGAGGAACACCAGUGGCGAAGGCGGUCGCCUGGUCUGUAACUGACACUGAGGCACGAAAGCGUGGGGAGCAAAUAGG
RNAcentral lists this ribosomal RNA (429 nucleotides) under uncultured bacterium. Its description in RNAcentral is "bacterial SSU rRNA". It matches the Rfam family "Bacterial small subunit ribosomal RNA", at positions 354 to 776 of the family's 1533-position model. The record is from RNAcentral.